RNAcentral lists this ribosomal RNA (465 nucleotides) under uncultured bacterium. RNAcentral describes it as "partial 16S ribosomal RNA". It matches the Rfam family "Bacterial small subunit ribosomal RNA", at positions 338 to 795 of the family's 1533-position model. The record is from RNAcentral.
CCUACGUGUGGCAGCAGUGGGGAAUAUUGCGCAAUGGGCGAAAGCCUGACGCAGCGACGCCGCGUGAGGGAUGAAGGUCUUCGGAUCGUAAACCUCUGUCAGCAGGGAAGAACGGUCACUGUGCUAAUCAGCAGUGAAUUGACGGUACCUGCAAAGGAAGCACCGGCUAACUCCGUGCCAGCAGCCGCGGUAAUACGGAGGGUGCGAGCGUUAAGCGGAAUUACUGGGCGGAAAGCGCUCGUAGGCGGUAUGUCAAGUCAAGGGUGAAAUCCCCGCGCUCAACGUGGGAACUGCCUUUGAAACGGGCAAACUGGAGUGUGUGAGAGGAUAGUGGAAUUCCAGGUGUAGGAGUGAAAUCCGUAGAUAUCUGGAGGAACAUCAGUGGCGAAGGCGACUAUCUGGCACAUAACUGACGCUGAGGAGCGAAAGCGUGGGUAGCAAACAGGAUUAGAUACCCCAGUAGUC